This 407-nucleotide ribosomal RNA is filed under the name uncultured Streptomyces sp. Its description in RNAcentral is "bacterial SSU rRNA". It matches the Rfam family "Bacterial small subunit ribosomal RNA", at positions 355 to 774 of the family's 1533-position model. The record is from RNAcentral. Lineage: Bacteria; Bacillati; Actinomycetota; Actinomycetes; Kitasatosporales; Streptomycetaceae.
UGGGGAAUAUUGCACAAUGGGCGAAAGCCUGAUGCAGCGACGCCGCGUGAGGGAUGACGGCCUUCGGGUUGUAAACCUCUUUCAGCAGGGAAGAAGCGAAAGUGACGGUACCUGCAGAAGAAGCGCCGGCUAACUACGUGCCAGCAGCCGCGGUAAUACGUAGGGCGCAAGCGUUGUCCGGAAUUAUUGGGCGUAAAGAGCUCGUAGGCGGUCUGUCGCGUCGGAUGUGAAAGCCCGGGGCUUAACCCCGGGUCUGCAUUCGAUACGGGCAGACUAGAGUGUGGUAGGGGAGAUCGGAAUUCCUGGUGUAGCGGUGAAAUGCGCAGAUAUCAGGAGGAACACCGGUGGCGAAGGCGGAUCUCUGGGCCAUUACUGACGCUGAGGAGCGAAAGCGUGGGGAGCGAACA